RNAcentral lists this ribosomal RNA (354 nucleotides) under uncultured bacterium. Its description in RNAcentral is "bacterial SSU rRNA". It matches the Rfam family "Bacterial small subunit ribosomal RNA", at positions 29 to 412 of the family's 1533-position model. The record is from RNAcentral.
AGCGAACGCUGGCGGCGUACCUAACACAUGCAAGUCGAACGCUCCGCAAGGGGAGUGGCGCACGGGUGAGUAACACGUGGGAACCUACCUUCUGGUACGGAACAACCAAGGGAAACUUUGGCUAAGACCGUAUACGACCUCCGGGUGAAAGAUUGAUCGCCGGAAGAGGGGCCCGCGUCCGAUUAGGUAGUUGGUGAGGUAACGGCUCACCAAGCCUUCGAUCGGUAGCUGGUCUGAGAGGAUGACCAGCCACACUGGGACUGAGACACGGCCCAGACUCCUACGGGAGGCAGCAGUGGGGAAUAUUGGACAAUGGGGGCAACCCUGAUCCAGCAAUGCCGCGUGAGUGAUGAA